ACACUCUGGCUUCUCUUCAUAACGUACAAGUCUUUCGCCUUUUACUAAAGACUUCCGUGGAGAGCAGCGCUAAGGAGUUGCACCUAUUUUUGGCAGGGUCUGGCUGGCUGGGCCCU
Molecule: small nuclear RNA, 116 nt
Organism: Oreochromis aureus
Lineage: Eukaryota; Metazoa; Chordata; Actinopteri; Cichliformes; Cichlidae
Gene: U5
Rfam family: U5 spliceosomal RNA
About the family: U5 RNA is a component of both types of known spliceosome. The precise function of this molecule is unknown, though it is known that the 5' loop is required for splice site selection and p220 binding, and that both the 3' stem-loop and the Sm site are important for Sm protein binding and cap methylation.
Source: Ensembl